Molecule: unclassified non-coding RNA, 402 nt
Filed under: soil metagenome
Description: partial contains 5.8S ribosomal RNA, internal transcribed spacer 2, and large subunit ribosomal RNA
Rfam family: 5.8S ribosomal RNA (bases 1-121)
Source: RNAcentral
GAUGAAGAACGUAGCGAAAUGCGAUAAGUAAUGUGAAUUGCAGAAUUCAGUGAAUCAUCGAAUCUUUGAACGCACCUUGCGCCCUUUGGCUAUUCUGAAGGGCAUGCCUGUUUGAGUAUCGUGAACACCUCAACUCUCAUGGUCUGCCAUGAUGAGCUUGGACUUUGGGGGUCUUGCUGGCCUACUGUCAGCUCCUCUCAAAUGAAUCGGCUUACCAGUGUUUGGUGGCACCACAGGUGUGAUAACUAUCUACGCUUGUGGUUUUCUGCCAGGUAACCUCCAGUGAUGGAGGUUCGCUGGAGCUCACAAAUGUCUCUCCUCAGCGAGGACAGCUUUUUGAACGUUUGAUCUCAAAUCAGGUAGGACUACCCGCUGAACUUAAGCAUAUCAAUAAGCGGAGGA